GAAGAAUGAACCAGAAGAUGAGGAA
Molecule: non-coding RNA, 25 nt
Filed under: Cricetulus griseus (Chinese hamster)
Lineage: Eukaryota; Metazoa; Chordata; Mammalia; Rodentia; Cricetidae
Source: RNAcentral